CCCAGACUCCUACGGGAGGCAGCAGUGGGGGAUAUUGCACAAUGGGGGAAACCCUGAUGCAGCGACGCCGCGUGAGUGAAGAAGUAUUUCGGUAUGUAAAGCUCUAUCAGCAGGGAAGAAAAAAGACGGUACCUGACUAAGAAGCCCCGGCUAACUACGUGCCAGCAGCCGCGGUAAUACGUAGGGGGCAAGCGUUAUCCGGAUUUACUGGGUGUAAAGGGAGCGUAGACGGCAAUACAAGUCGGAAGUGAAAUACCCGGGCUCAACCUGGGAACUGCUUUGGAAACUGUAUGGCUGGAGUGCUGGAGAGGUAAGCGGAAUUCCUAGUGUAGCGGUGAAAUGCGUAGAUAUUAGGAGGAACACCAGUGGCGAAGGCGGCUUACUGGACAGUAACUGACGUUGAGGCUCGAAAGCGUGGGGAGCAAACAGGAUUAGAUACCCCGGUAUAC
This 449-nucleotide ribosomal RNA is filed under the name uncultured bacterium. RNAcentral describes it as "bacterial SSU rRNA". It matches the Rfam family "Bacterial small subunit ribosomal RNA", at positions 330 to 795 of the family's 1533-position model. The record is from RNAcentral.